UUAAAAUGGAAGCUAAAAUACACGGAAAGCCUUUGAGAGAGGAGCAAGCUCAGCCUGCUGUUCUUGUCCUUUCUGGAUUCAGGGGCGCCCUUUCAGAGAAAAACAUGGACCUGAUUGGCAUCAUCCUGUAUCCAUGGAAACCUCAUGGCACAAAUGAUCUCUCCACUGAUUAGACUGGAACAGCAUUUGCAGACGCUGCAUGUAAAAACUUCCCUGAUGAAAAUUGUUACCUUUUCACAUGCUAGGCUCUCCACAUCAGUCCUAYACAUCUGCUCGUGCGUGCGAAUACAAAAGUGUCAAGGCUGUAAGUUCGGUGAUUUUGGUGUGGGCUGAAC
Molecule: long non-coding RNA, 335 nt
Organism: Nothoprocta perdicaria
Lineage: Eukaryota; Metazoa; Chordata; Aves; Tinamiformes; Tinamidae
Exons: 3
Source: RefSeq, a predicted model, not a curated record